This 435-nucleotide ribosomal RNA is filed under the name uncultured bacterium. RNAcentral's name for it is "partial 16S ribosomal RNA". It matches the Rfam family "Bacterial small subunit ribosomal RNA", at positions 29 to 507 of the family's 1533-position model. The record is from RNAcentral.
AGCGAACGCUGGCGGCAGGCUUAACACAUGCAAGUCGAGCGGGCACUUUCGGGUGUCAGCGGCGGACGGGUGAGUAACGCGUGGGAACGUGCCCUCUGGUUCGGAAUAACUCAGGGAAACUUGAGCUAAUACCGGAUACGCCCUUUUGGGGAAAGGCUUGCUGCCGGAGGAUCGGCCCGCGUCUGAUUAGCUAGUUGGUGAGGUAACGGUUCACCAAGGCGACGAUCAGUAGCUGGUCUGAGAGGAUGAUCAGCCACACUGGGACUGAGACACGGCCCAGACUCCUACGGGAGGCAGCAGUGGGGAAUAUUGGACAAUGGGCGCAAGCCUGAUCCAGCCAUGCCGCGUGAGUGAUGAAGGCCUUAGGGUUGUAAAGCUCUUUUAUCCGGGACGAUAAUGACGGUACCGGAGGAAUAAGCCCCGGCUAACUUCGUG